UACGGGAGGCAGCAGUGGGGAAUAUUGCACAAUGGGCGCAAGCCUGAUGCAGCCAUGCCGCGUGUAUGAAAAAGGCCUUCGGGUUGUAAAGUACUUUCAGUCGUGAGGAAGGUGUUAAGGUUAAUAACCUUAGCAAUUGACGUUAGCGACAGAAGAAGCACCGGCUAACUCCGUGCCAGCAGCCGCGGUAAUACGGAGGGUGCGAGCGUUAAUCGGAAUUACUGGGCGUAAAGGGCACGCAGGCGGUUAAUUAAGUUGGAUGUGAAAUCCCCGGGCUUAACCUGGGAAUGGCAUUCAAGACUGGUUAGCUAGAGUCUUGUAGAGGGGGGUAGAAUUCCGAUGUGUAGCGGUGAAAUGCGUAGAGAUGUGGAGGAAUACCGGUGGCGAAGGCGGCCCCUGGGACAAAGACUGACGCUCAUGUGCGAAAGCGUGGGGAGCAAACAGGGAUUAGAUACC
RNAcentral lists this ribosomal RNA (456 nucleotides) under uncultured bacterium. RNAcentral describes it as "bacterial SSU rRNA". It matches the Rfam family "Bacterial small subunit ribosomal RNA", at positions 340 to 786 of the family's 1533-position model. The record is from RNAcentral.